UACGUAGGGGGCGAGCGUUGUCCGGAUUUAUUGGGCGUAAAAGGCUUGUAGGUGGCCACGUCAAGUCGGAUGUGAAAUCUCCCGGCUCAACUGGGAGGGGUCAUUCGAUACUGGCGGGCUCGAGGCCGGUAGGGGGAAGCGGAAUUCCCGGUGUAGUGGUGGAAUGCGUAGAUAUUCGCAAGAACACCAGUGGCGAAGGCGGCUCACUGGCCCGGUACUGACGCUGAGGUGCGAAAGCGUGGGGAGCAAACAGG
RNAcentral lists this ribosomal RNA (254 nucleotides) under uncultured bacterium. Its description in RNAcentral is "partial 16S ribosomal RNA". It matches the Rfam family "Bacterial small subunit ribosomal RNA", at positions 524 to 776 of the family's 1533-position model. The record is from RNAcentral.